UGAUGACAAGUGCAAUUUGCUGAUUACUCUGAGGCUUCACAGCACUUGCCUGUCUGAUU
Molecule: small nucleolar RNA, 59 nt
Filed under: Euglena gracilis
Lineage: Eukaryota; Euglenozoa; Euglenophyceae; Euglenales; Euglenaceae
Description: Eg-m97
Source: RNAcentral